GACGAACGCUGGCGGCGUGCCUAAUACAUGCAAGUAGAACGCACAGUUUAUACCGUAGCUUGCUACACCAUAGACUGUGAGUUGCGAACGGGUGAGUAACGCGUAGGUAACCUGCCUGGUAGCGGGGGAUAACUAUUGGAAACGAUAGCUAAUACCGCAUAAUAUUAAUUAUUGCAUGAUAAUUAAUUGAAAGGUGCAAUUGCACCACUACCAGAUGGACCUGCCUUGUAUUAGCUAGUAGGUGAGGUAACGGCUCACCUAGGCGACGAUACAUAGCCGACCUGAGAGGGCGAUCGGCCACACUGGGACUGAGACACGGCCCAGACUCCUACGGGAGGCAGCAGUAGGGAAUCUUCGGCAAUGGACGAAAGUCUGACCGAGCAACGCCGCGUGAGUGAAGAAGGUUUUCGGAUCGUAAAGCUCUGUUGUAAGAGAAGAACGGGUGUGAGAGUGGAAAGUUCACACUGUGACGGUAUCUUACCAGAAAGGGACGGCUAACUACGUG
RNAcentral lists this ribosomal RNA (505 nucleotides) under uncultured bacterium. Its description in RNAcentral is "partial 16S ribosomal RNA". It matches the Rfam family "Bacterial small subunit ribosomal RNA", at positions 28 to 507 of the family's 1533-position model. The record is from RNAcentral.